UGGAGGAAAGCAGGGGAUCGCAAGACCUUGCGCUUUUGGAGCGGCCGAUGUCUGAUUAGCUAGUUGGUGGGGUAAUGGCCUACCAAGGCUACGAUCAGUAGUUGGUCUGAGAGGACGACCAGCCACACUGGGGCUGAGACACGGCCCAGACUCCUACGGGAGGCAGCAGUGGGGAAUUUUGGACAAUGGGCGAAAGCCUGAUCCAGCAAUGCCGCGUGAGUGAAGAAGGCCUUCAGGUUGUAAAGCUCUUUCAGUCGAGAAGAAAAGGUUGUGACUAAUAAUCACAAUUUAUGACGGUAUCGACAGAAGAAGCACCGGCUAACUACGUGCCAGCAGCCGCGGUAAUACGUAGGGUGCAGGCGUUAAUCGGAAUUACUGGGCGUAAAGGGUGCGCAGGCGGCUUUGUAAGUCAGAUGUGA
This 419-nucleotide ribosomal RNA is filed under the name uncultured ammonia-oxidizing beta proteobacterium. RNAcentral describes it as "bacterial SSU rRNA". It matches the Rfam family "Bacterial small subunit ribosomal RNA", at positions 197 to 597 of the family's 1533-position model. Lineage: Bacteria; Pseudomonadati; Pseudomonadota; Betaproteobacteria. The record is from RNAcentral.